ACCUGUUAUUAUUUUCUUCCUCUGCAUCUCUGAAUAUGCAAAGCUUCUUUGGAGUUUAUCGAUCUUCCAAGCUAACAAAGGAUUUUCAAACUCACACUUCUUCAGCUGCCGAAAUAGAGAACAAACUUCUCACUGACAAACCCGUUUUCAAUUUGGA
Long non-coding RNA from Solanum tuberosum (potato), 157 nucleotides. RefSeq lists it as uncharacterized. The transcript is spliced from 3 exons. The record is from RefSeq and is a predicted model, not a curated record. NCBI's taxonomy places the organism in Eukaryota, Viridiplantae, Streptophyta, Magnoliopsida, Solanales, Solanaceae.